UACGGAGGGGGCUAGCGUUGUUCGGAAUUACUGGGCGUAAAGCGCGCGUAGGUGGUUUGUUAAGUCGGAUGUGAAAUCCCCGGGCUCAACCUGGGAACUGCAUCCGAAACUGGCAAGCUAGAGUAUGGUAGAGGGUAGUGGAAUUUCCUGUGUAGCGGUGAAAUGCGUAGAUAUAGGAAGGAACACCAGUGGCGAAGGCGACUACCUGGACUGAUACUGACACUGAGGUGCGAAAGCGUGGGGAGCAAACAGG
Molecule: ribosomal RNA, 253 nt
Filed under: uncultured bacterium
Lineage: Bacteria
Description: partial 16S ribosomal RNA
Rfam family: Bacterial small subunit ribosomal RNA
Source: RNAcentral